RNAcentral lists this small nucleolar RNA (75 nucleotides) under Hucho hucho (huchen). RNAcentral's name for it is "Small nucleolar RNA SNORD59 (ENSHHUG00000032057.1)". It matches the Rfam family "Small nucleolar RNA SNORD59". From Rfam's summary of the family: U59 belongs to the C/D class of snoRNA which contain the C (UGAUGA) and D (CUGA) box motifs. Most of the members of the box C/D family function in directing site-specific 2'-O-methylation of substrate RNAs. The record is from Rfam by way of RNAcentral. Lineage: Eukaryota; Metazoa; Chordata; Actinopteri; Salmoniformes; Salmonidae.
UCUUCAGUGAUGAUAGAUAAAGUAACUUUUGUUCUUCUGAUUCUACUGAAGACAACCAUUCUGUCAUGCGGAAGA